Molecule: ribosomal RNA, 466 nt
Filed under: uncultured bacterium
Lineage: Bacteria
Description: partial 16S ribosomal RNA
Rfam family: Bacterial small subunit ribosomal RNA
Source: RNAcentral
AACGAACGCUGGCGGUAUGCUUAACACAUGCAAGUCGAACGAACAAAAUUGGGGCUUGCUCCAAUUUUAGUGAGUGGCAAACGGGUGAGUAACACGUGGGAAUCUACCUAUCAGUACGGAAUAACAUUUGGAAACAGAUGCUAAUACCGUAUAUUCUCCAAGGAGGAAAGAUUUAUCGCUGAUAGAUGAGCCCGCGCAAGAUUAGGUAGUUGGUAGGGUAAUGACCUACCAAGCCGACGAUCUUUAGCUGGUCUGAGAGGAUGAUCAGCCACACUGGGACUGAGACACGGCCCAGACUCCUACGGGAGGCAGCAGUGGGGAAUAUUGGACAAUGGGCGAAAGCCUGAUCCAGCAAUACCGCGUGAAUGAUGAAGGCCUUAGGGUUGUAAAGUUCUUUUAGUUGGAAAGAUAAUGGCGGUACCAACAGAAAAAGCCCCGGCUAACUCCGUGCCAGCCGCCGCCGUAA